This 363-nucleotide unclassified non-coding RNA is filed under the name uncultured bacterium. Its description in RNAcentral is "contains 16S-23S intergenic spacer region". The record is from RNAcentral.
UCCCCGUUGCCGGGGCAGUCUGAUUAGAAAAAUCCAACUAAUCACAAGGGUUGCGCUCGUUAAAGGACUUAACCUAACAUCUCACGACACGAGCUGACGACGGCCAUGCAACACCUGUCACUUGGUUCCCGAAGGCACAGUUUCCUUUCGGAAGCCUUCCAAGGAUGUCAAGCCUGGGUAAGGUUCUUCGCUUACCAUCGAAUUAAAGAACACGCUCCACCGCUUGUGCGGGUCCCCGUCAAUUCCUUUAUGUUUUAAGCUUGCGCUCGUACUCCACAGGCGGGAUGCUUAACGCGUUAGCUUCGCUACUACGGGGGUCGAUACCCAUAACAGCUAGCAUCCAUAGUUUACGGCGUGGACUAA